UGGUGUUUGGAUUGUCUCUGCCGGCUGGCUCCGUGCUGGUCCACCGAACGGUCGGCAUGCAAUCCCUGUCGCUUGUUGGGAGGUGUGGUAUUUGCACCAGAGGCUGGUUCUUGUGCCUCCUACCCAUCAUGGGGAAGCAGGACACUUGAAGCGAAUCCGUCGUGCGCCUCCUGUUGGGCGCAUGAGGACGAUGAGGCGCCCCCGUGUUCCGCCGAAUCCUUGUUGGUCGGGUGGCCCAUGGGGGCGUGCAAUGCUCUCGGACCCAGCGAACAUGGCGGGACGAGGACUCCGGUCUGAGUCCUAAGUGAAAGCUUCUGUACGAUGUGUGACGGCCGUCCCUUCCCCUUGCACGCCUCGGCGUGCCAUGGGCGAUGGGGGCGUCCCUAAGGACCGCUACCUGGUUGAUCCUGCCAGUAGUCAUAUGCUUGUCU
This 431-nucleotide unclassified non-coding RNA is filed under the name Calliandra foliolosa. Its description in RNAcentral is "partial external transcribed spacer". Lineage: Eukaryota; Viridiplantae; Streptophyta; Magnoliopsida; Fabales; Fabaceae. The record is from RNAcentral.